Canis lupus familiaris (dog) is the source of this 4675-nucleotide long non-coding RNA. RefSeq lists it as uncharacterized. The record is from RefSeq and is a predicted model, not a curated record. The transcript has 4 exons. Lineage: Eukaryota; Metazoa; Chordata; Mammalia; Carnivora; Canidae.
GCUCCCGAGAAAGGAGAAGGCUUCUGGCAACUCUGCCUCUCUCCAGAUUUGGGGGAAAGGGCCCUGCCCCUUGAGGGGAAGCUGCGCAGGCCUCUGCACUUCACCUGCUGAAAGGGAGGCCAUUUAGAAGAAGGAUAUCAUCUCAGUGAUCCUGCUAGGAAAGGGGGCCAGCAUGGAAAAUCUCCCUGGGGCCAGGGCCAGGCAGGAGCAGCCUUUGUCUGGCAGGAGACGGAGAGGAUGAUGUCAAGUCCACCUGGGCUGGGUCCUGGCCUCCAGCCACGCCCCACACCCACCUUGGCAGGGCUGGAGCCCUGUGAUCCGGCCCUUCCUUGCCUGGGCUCCUUGGCCGAAGCUGGGAAUGGCUGAAAUCUAGGGGUUCGCCCACCAAACAGGAUCUGCUCCUAUUCCAGCCUCUGUUUCUGGAUAAUAUGGAAGAGGUCCUGCAGCAAGGGAUGAGAAAAUUGAGGCUCACAGAGCUGAGCAGACUUGAAGGCAAUCAAACAGCUAAUGGAUCAUCCCCACGCUACCGAGGGAGUGGAAACUCAUCUAUCUAACAGAGUCACAUGGCAUCACCUCCAUUGUAUUUUACUGAUGGAAGCAGCCACAACCCUCACAGAUUCAAGGGAAGAAGGACAUAGAUCCCACCCUUCCCUGGAAAGAGUGCCAAAGGAUACUGGGACCAUGCUUCUAAACUACCACAGAUCUGAAGACUGGGGCUCCCAGAGUGCAGAGCUUGGCUGUCACUACCUGCCUCUGCCCCAUCCUGCCUGUCCAUGACAACGAAGGCCAAGGAGUCCUCAGGCCCUACGCCCAGGGGGGGUCGGCAACUGGGAGAGGUAUGUGGGGGGAUGCAUAUGCCCAAGGGGUAUUUAAGUCUGUGCCUGCUUUGUACAAGCACUGGCAUGUGUGCCUGAACAGGGGAGGGUUACUCCACUCACUAGAAGAUACUGUGCCAUGGCCAAACUCCCCUCUUGUAGGGCACAGACUUUCCAGCGCAGUGGAGAAGCUGAGGCAGGACCAAAAGGAUGAGAGGGGUUCAAGAGGAAGGGGCUGAGUCAAGAGUGUGCUGAGCCAGAAAAAGGUCCAUGAGGGUUGGAGGAGCUAGCGCUCUGGUCCUGGGGUCUUGGGGCUCAGGGUUCCCAAGAAGCUAGCAACAGCUAAUCAUCAGAAACCACUGACAGUUUCCUGGGAGCACAGGGAAACAUUUGCAGAUUGGGAGUGGAAGACCUGGGGGCUCAGGCAGGCCUGGAGAAAUGCAUGGUCUUCACUCCUUGCCCUGAGGUCAAGAAGGGAGCCACCUCUCCAGUACCCCACCUGUCCCCGCUGUCCCUGGAGCUGAUCUAGGCCUCCAGUCCAACCUCAUACCACAGGAGCCCAAGGCAAAGCAGCCAAGGCAGGCCAAUGUCCCAGGGUGUGGCAACCUGUCACCCAGUCUCCCUCAUCCCCUCCAAGGCAGGGACUUGCACAGCCAUAUUUCCAACAGGCUCUCAAUAGAGUUGCUGAGUGAAGGAGGAGUGGGUGUCUGCAGGAGUUGGUGGCGGGCUGGGGUCAGCCCCCCGCGGCCCCACCCUCUCUGCUCAGCCUCCAGGCAGGAUGACUACAGCCCUAGGCCUCAUGCCCACUCCAGAGGCCCACCCAGACCCUCAGGCACUUCCUGAGCAGCAGGACACAUCCUGCCCUGCAUGCCCCUGGAAAGAGGCCGCUUAUCAGAGGGAAAAGGACACUUUGUUCAGGCCUGGCCAUCUGCCUGGGCUGCGGGUGCCCUACUCAGGGCCUGGCUGGCAGAGGCAGGAAGAUCCCUGUAAGCAGGGAUGGAAGGCCUUGGGGAGAGCAAAUGAGCAAGGCUCCAUGCCUCAGGCCUCUCCCUUUCAGAGGUCAACUUGGCCUCUCCCUUCCCCUGCACCAUUCUUUCUUCUUUCCAUUCGUCUCCUACCUCUCUGACUCCUGAUGGAGUUUUUCCCUCGCUCACUCACUCCAUUCAUUCACUUAAGCAAUAUUUAAGGAACACUUAGAAUGUGCUAGUAAAGUUCGAGGCCCUGUGGACACAGCAGCAAGCAAAACAGGCAACAAUGUCUGCCCUUAUGAAGCUUACGUUCCAGUUGAGAGACAAUAAGCACACAUACACACAAAUGAAAUAGGUGCUACAUUAGAUGAUUAAAGUGCUUGGAAGAAAAGCAAGGCAGGAGCACAAGGACAGAGCCAGUUUCAGGGAAUGAAAGGGAAUAAAUGCCUCCCCCCCGCCCCCCCACAACAUAUACAGUGGAUAAGAAGCCCUCCUGAGAAGGUGACAGCCAAAGACCUUAAGGAGGCAAGGAAAUGAAUCACAUAAAUUCCUAAAGGCAGAGCCUCCAAAGCAGAGGGAACAGCAAGUGCAAAGGCCCUGAAGCAGGAGUGUGUGGGGGGGGCAGGGGGGAGAGUGUUUGCAAGGAACAGCAAAGAAGCUGGUGAGGCCAGAGCACACAGAGCAAGGAGGGCAGCAGGAGAGGGGGUCAGAGACGGAGCAGCAACUAGAUAAAGAGGGGCCUUAUCACCCUUGGAAGGACUUUGGCUCACACUUACUGAUGGGGAACCAGUGUGGAGCUCUGAACAGAGGAUUUAUGUUUUAAAAUAACAGUAGCUCAUGUUACAUAGUGUAUUGUAUGUAUCAGCCACUUUUCUAAACACCAAACAUGUAUUAACCUGUUUAAUCCUCCUAAUGACUUUUAUUAAAGCUGAGGAAACUGAGCUAGAGAGGUCUCUACACACUAGAUGUUAGUAGCACCCUCCCCUAACUUGUCACAAACCAAAAAUGUCUCCAGACAGUGCCAAAUGGCUCCUAGCAGAAAGAAUGUCCCUGGUUGAGAAUGACUACCUAAGUGUCCUCCUGUCCACCCCAUCUGCCCCUGUCCCAGCUCAGGCCCACACCCUUCUCACUAGGACACUUGAGAGCCUCCAAAUUGGCCAAUCCUGUCCCCUCCACCCUCCACAGUACAUCUUACCAAGCCAUUUAGGAUGGUAUUAGUGGUCCUAUACAAUCUGGCCCCUGCCUAUCUUUCCAGCAAUAGCCUUGAGCCCCUCCCCUCCCUUCCCCCCUCAGUCUAGCAGCAUGUGUUGAGUCUAUUGUGUGCCAACCACUACAGUGGACACUGUAGACACUGCCGACGGGAGCCCAGGCCCCCCAGGACCCAUCCUGUCCUCACAGAGUAUCUGUCCAGGGUAGGGAAGAGCAGGUGAGCUGACAGCUCCUGCUCAUGCAGAGCCAGGGAGAUUUGAGUGCUCCAGGAGAAGAGGUGCUGGAGCUGAGCUGUAUGACAUGGGCAGGGCUUAUUGAGGAGGGGCAGGGAGGACCUGGGCAUGGUGGGGCAGCAGCUUAGAGAGGCCCAGGAAGCUGUGGCUGUGAUUUGGGGCUCCAGGAAAGGCCUGGAGAGAGCACGUGUGAAGAGGGACUGAUGGCAGGGAGCAAAGGAUGACAUAUGAACAGGUGGACAGAACAGGAGGCCCAGGAGAGACGUCUGGGAUGGCUCACGGAGGUGGACAGAGGGAUGUGGUGCCCACUGGACACUUUCCCAUCAGGACAGCGUUCUCCUGGCAGGCAUGCCCUCCCCCCCCCCCCAUUUCAUCCAUCGAAUUCUCCCUCCCCCUGCUAGUCCAAAUCACAAAUGGUGCCUCCUCCUUGAAGCCUUCUGGAUUCCUCCCUGCUGAUAUGACUGGCUCCCUCCAGCAUACUGUCCGAACCUCAUCAUCUGCUUUCAUUGCAGGAGUCUGCUGUUACCCCACUCCCCCGACUGUGAAUUUCCUGUGAGCAGGGAGGUAUCUUAUCCUCCUCUCCCCAUGAAUUAAGUCAGACCGCCUCUGGGCUCUGCCCCUGCGAGGGGCCUGGGGGUGGGGGCAGGGGGCCAGGCUGCAUUUGCGGCACCUCGCACCUCAGUGCUGCCCUCGCACUGCAGUGGCCCACACACGACUGGGGCCUACCACUAGCCUUCCUGGGCCUUCUCCCGCUCCAAGCCCAGGGUGCCCCUCUCUGCCCUCAGGGGCGGGGCUGGGAGGUUGCCCUGGGGGAGCCCCUGGCUGACUGCUGCACAGAGGUGCGGGCCAGGGGGCGCUCCCUGGUGGGAGAUCCCCCCCACAGCAGCCCCCAGUCAGUACCCCUGUAAUAAUUACAGCAGUGAGGCCACCUGCCUCACGACUCCAGCAGCCUCCCUGCUGCAGGCUGCAGUCCCUGCCUCUAUAGUCUCAUUCCCCCUCAGCAGCCAAGGAGGACUCUGAAACCAUAAACCACAUCAGGUCACUCCUCGCUGUGUUCAAAUAAUCCCCAGAAAAAACUCAGAUGGGCUAAAUACAUGUCCUCUCCCUUCCCUCCAGACCUCACCUAUUAUUCCCUCUCCCUCACUCCCUGUCCCCACCCCCCACCCUCCUUCUUCCCCUUCUUCAAACACACUGGAGCCUGCUCCUGCCUCAGGGCACCUGCACUUGCUAUUCCCUCUGCUGUAAUGCCCUUCCCCCAACACCCCCCCCCCUUCCUCCAGGUUCCUGCUAACACAUAAUCUCCUUAGAGCUGCCUUUCCCACCCCAUUGAUCUAAAACAGCAUCCCAUUACCCAGCUCAUCUUUCUUCAUAGUACUUAUCACUCCCUGAUGUAUUUUGUUGUCUAUCCUUCUAGCAAUAUGAUAAAUCCUCAAAGAAAAUAAUAAAGGUU